GGGUUAAGUCCCGUUAACGAGCGCAACCCUUGUCCUUAGUUACCAGCACGUUAUGGUGGGCACUCUAAGGAGACUGCCGGUGACAAACCGGAGGAAGGUGGGGAUGACGUCAAGUCAUCAUGGCCCUUACGGCCUGGGCUACACACGUGCUACAAUGGUCGGUACAAAGGGUUGCCAAGCCGCGAGGUGGAGCUAAUCCCAUAAAACCGAUCGUAGUCCGGAUCGCAGUCUGCAACUCGACUGCGUGAAGUCGGAAUCGCUAGUAAUCGUGAAUCAGAAUGUCACGGUGAAUACGUUCCCGGGCCUU
Molecule: ribosomal RNA, 307 nt
Filed under: uncultured Pseudomonas sp.
Lineage: Bacteria; Pseudomonadati; Pseudomonadota; Gammaproteobacteria; Pseudomonadales; Pseudomonadaceae
Description: bacterial SSU rRNA
Rfam family: Bacterial small subunit ribosomal RNA
Source: RNAcentral